GACGAACGCUGGCGGCGUGCUUAACACAUGCAAGUCGAACGGAAAGGCCCUGCUUUUGUGGGGUGCUCGAGUGGCGAACGGGUGAGUAACACGUGAGUAACCUGCCCUUGACUUUGGGAUAACUUCAGGAAACUGGGGCUAAUACCGGAUAGGAGCUCCUGCUGCAUGGUGGGGGUUGGAAAGUUUCGGCGGUUGGGGAUGGACUCGCGGCUUAUCAGCUUGUUGGUGGGGUAGUGGCUUACCAAGGCUUUGACGGGUAGCCGGCCUGAGAGGGUGACCGGCCCCAUUGGCUGGGAGGACGGCACCGGCCGGAAUCGGGCGGGAGGGAGGGGGAAGUUAGACAACGGGGCGGCGGCAGUAGGGAGGAAGCCCGGGUGGGGGAAGGCGGUCGUGGGUUUGUAAGCACAUUUCGCUUGGCAGGGAGGGGGGUGACGGUAAAUGACUAAAAAGACACGGGUAAAUACGUG
RNAcentral lists this ribosomal RNA (467 nucleotides) under uncultured bacterium. RNAcentral describes it as "partial 16S ribosomal RNA". The stretch from base 20 to 329 matches the Rfam family "Bacterial small subunit ribosomal RNA", at positions 47 to 358 of the family's 1533-position model. The record is from RNAcentral.